RNAcentral lists this ribosomal RNA (258 nucleotides) under Triticum aestivum (bread wheat). Its description in RNAcentral is "partial small subunit ribosomal RNA". The record is from RNAcentral. Lineage: Eukaryota; Viridiplantae; Streptophyta; Magnoliopsida; Poales; Poaceae.
AUGGGCAACCUUUUUCUAUAUGUUGCUCGUGAGCCGCCAAGUACCAGUCUCGCAACAGUACUGACGUUAAAGGAUCGGUCCUUCACUUGCGGAUCGUUCGCGAGUCGAACUCGCUCUCUUGCCACGCCUUUGACUCACGAACUCGAGUCGGACUCAUUCACUGCUGACUUUUUUGAGGAUCGUUCGUUCUUCACUCUCUUGCUAUUACCCGCAGGGAGCGCUACUACCGGAAAAGUGUCGCUAACCGCUAGGCAAUAG